GGGUCGUUAGCUCAGUUGGUAGAGCAUUGACUUUUUAAUCAAUUGGUCGCACUUCGAAUCCUGCACGACCCACCA
Molecule: transfer RNA, 75 nt
Filed under: Vibrio parahaemolyticus 3259
Lineage: Bacteria; Pseudomonadati; Pseudomonadota; Gammaproteobacteria; Vibrionales; Vibrionaceae
Description: tRNA-Lys
Rfam family: tRNA
About the family: Transfer RNA (tRNA) molecules are approximately 80 nucleotides in length. Their secondary structure includes four short double-helical elements and three loops (D, anti-codon, and T loops).
Source: RNAcentral